RNAcentral lists this long non-coding RNA (508 nucleotides) under Arabidopsis lyrata. RNAcentral's name for it is "long non-coding RNA (ALYR_LNC000866)". Lineage: Eukaryota; Viridiplantae; Streptophyta; Magnoliopsida; Brassicales; Brassicaceae. The record is from RNAcentral.
AGGCCCGGCCCAGAGGACAAGCCUCUGAAGCAACUGAUUCGGGCCACAAAGUUUUGAGGGCCUUUUCAAAAUUUUUUUUUGUUUAUAUAUAGAUAUAAUCUGAAUUGUUCUCUAAGGCCUUCUAAAGAAAUAUUGUGGGCCUUUCCUAUUCAACUAGAGACAUAAAAGCUCAAGUAAAAAAAAAACCUGAAAUCUAGAGUAAAAAAAAAAAACGACGGUAGAGUUUCUUGUUUCUUCUUUGACAGGAUACCUUCUUACUGCUUCUUACUGUUACUGCUGCAUAUAUGUGAGUUUUUCUUACAAGUGAAAAUCAUAGGGUUUGAGGUUAAUUGUUAGUUUUGCUUUCAAAUUUGUUGUUUUUUCCUUUCGUUUUUGUCAAAUUAGUAAAAUAGAGAUGCAAAUCUAAUGAUUUGUCAAAUUCCAAUUUUAAAUGGAUCGAUUAUUAUUCUUUAGCUUUGUUAAGCUAUGAGACAAACACCGAAACACUUCCAACAAAUUUCAAAUCCGU